This 250-nucleotide unclassified non-coding RNA is filed under the name plant metagenome. RNAcentral describes it as "partial contains small subunit ribosomal RNA, internal transcribed spacer 1, and 5.8S ribosomal RNA". The record is from RNAcentral.
GUAGGUGAACCUGCGGAAGGAUCAUUAACACUCCAAAACUUCUCAUAGCUCUGGGAAACCAGAGUUUAUGAAACCCUAUUCACCAAUACGAACCCGGCAGGUGUGUCUGGCUUUCUGAGUCAGGCCCAUCUUGCUACUCUUUUGUCCAUUUCUUUUUUGACCCAAUAUAACAUUUCUUAUUGUCUGACUGGAAAGGCUUUACUGUCCUUCCGUUGCUCUUGCAGCUAAACCCUGUAAGGCAAUGAAAACU